CGUUUAUUUCUGUGAACAAAGAAAUAUAAAUGAAAUUCUCAAUCACACAAACAGACCUUGAUUGGCAGAACUGACUGAGGUAUCCCCGAGGGAUUCAAACUGCUUCAGGAUCAUCCUACACAGAUCUUGAUUGGUAGAACUGACUGAUGUAUCCCCGAGGGACUCAAAUUGCUUCAGAAUCAACCUACACAGAUCUUGAUUGGUAGAACUGACUGAGGUAUCCCCGACGGACUCAAAUUGCUUCAGAAUCAUCCUACACAGAUCAUGACUGGUAGAACUGACUGAGGUAUCCCCGAGAGACUCAAUUUGCUUCAGAAUCAUCCUCCACCGAUCUGGAUUGGUAGAACUGCAUGAGGUAUCCCCGAGAGACUCAAAUAGCUUCAGAAUCAUCCUACACAGAUCUUGAUUGGUAAAACUGACUGAGGUAUCCCGGAGAGACUCAAAUUGCUUCAGAAUCACCCUACUGCACAAUAUAUAUAUAUAUAUAUAAAGGUAAAUAAAAUA
RNAcentral lists this long non-coding RNA (504 nucleotides) under Theobroma cacao (cacao). RNAcentral's name for it is "long non-coding RNA (TCAC_LNC004095)". Lineage: Eukaryota; Viridiplantae; Streptophyta; Magnoliopsida; Malvales; Malvaceae. The record is from RNAcentral.